CUUAGGGUAGCAAAACCUGGCUAAUGCAAAAGGCCUAAGCCCUUUUACUAGGCGUUCAAAUCCCCUCCCUAACU
This 74-nucleotide transfer RNA is filed under the name Hemitheconyx taylori. RNAcentral's name for it is "tRNA-Leu". It matches the Rfam family "tRNA". From Rfam's summary of the family: Transfer RNA (tRNA) molecules are approximately 80 nucleotides in length. Their secondary structure includes four short double-helical elements and three loops (D, anti-codon, and T loops). Further hydrogen bonds mediate the characteristic L-shaped molecular structure. tRNAs have two regions of fundamental functional importance: the anti-codon, which is responsible for specific mRNA codon recognition, and the 3' end, to which the tRNAs corresponding amino acid is attached (by aminoacyl-tRNA synthetases). tRNAs cope with the degeneracy of the genetic code in two manners: having more than one tRNA (with a specific anti-codon) for a particular amino acid; and 'wobble' base-pairing, i.e. permitting non-standard base-pairing at the 3rd anti-codon position. Lineage: Eukaryota; Metazoa; Chordata; Lepidosauria; Squamata; Eublepharidae. The record is from RNAcentral.